This 795-nucleotide unclassified non-coding RNA is filed under the name Hevea brasiliensis (rubber tree). Lineage: Eukaryota; Viridiplantae; Streptophyta; Magnoliopsida; Malpighiales; Euphorbiaceae. The record is from RNAcentral.
AAAGCUUGGAGUUUUUUUUUUUUUGAAAGAAACAGCUUGGAGUGAAAUUACAACAAGCGGGGUCAUUAUUAUCAUUUGUACGCAUUUAUGACUCAGAAAGAUCUUCUCUUGCAAUACUCCAGUGCCAAAUGUGCACACAUUUCCUGAGUGCCAAAUGUGCACACAUUUCCUGAGGCAAAUUGAAGCAUAUUUACAAGCGGUGAUAUUAUAAACUUUAGCAGAAAGCUCAACACUAUUGUGGUACUACGGCUCAUUUAAAGUUUGACUGUUUCUGUUCAAAUACUUGCACUGAUAGAACCUUAGGGAAGAGGAGCUAUCAAGCUCAUAAAAGCUUUUGCAGUGAUACAGUAUUUACAGACAGAAGAACUGGUCAACAGGCUCUUGCCCUACUGGAAUCGUUAUGCAAAUCUCUUUUUCUGUUGUCAGUGCUGGGUAGGGGUCUGGUACCGGCUUCACUGCAAGUUUUGGUACAUUAUCGCCAAGGGUAUACCUGUUGGGUCUCUUUCAGGCGGGGGUCCGUCUUGGUUGAGACUUUGGCUGCUUACUGCUUACAAAUGGGUAAAAUUUUAGCAGAACAGAGAGGUAGAUUCGUAGACAUUAGCUAUGAUCCUGUUUUUAUGGUUCUUCAACAAACAUGCGGAUGAUAUUAGAGGAGACCAAAAUUCAUUUAUGGUAAUGUUCAGUACUAUUCUUGUCCUGAUGAUCACCAUAAUAAUGGCAUCUACUAAUAUAGUUUGCUAUUAAGCCGUCCAAAUGAUGUUUUAUAUAUAUAUAUUGUAAAUGUUUUUAAGAUAG